GCAGAUGAACUACAGGUGGUGAUGAUAGAUGGAGAAAGGGCAGAGGAUGGGCAAAGAAAUUGUCAGAUGAAAAGGAAAAGGGGAGCAGAGCAUCUCAGAGAUGGAUUAUCAGAUUGCUACUUGCCUGCAAGAAGAAGGAGAAAUGAAAAAAAAAAUAGAUAGGAAGUGAAGAAAAAUUUAAAAAAAUCAUUCCCUGAUGAAGACUGCGUAUACAGUCGAAACGCGUAGGAAGUAAAGUUUUUAAAGUUUAAAAUC
Stylophora pistillata is the source of this 255-nucleotide long non-coding RNA. The record is from RefSeq and is a predicted model, not a curated record. Lineage: Eukaryota; Metazoa; Cnidaria; Anthozoa; Scleractinia; Pocilloporidae.